AGUCAUUGCACUUCAGGCAUCAGACAGCGAACCAGGUCAAGUCUACAAAGCUGCACUUCGUUGUUUCUGAGAACUCUGCACUUUCUGGUUUACUCUUGCCGCAAGUGGAGUGAAUCAUGAUCUGGCUCGUUGUUCCUUUUUCCUAUGCAUAUACUUCUUUGAGAAUUGCUUCUAAAGAGGUAUAGGGCAUGGGAAAAUGGGGCAACUGAGGUACUCAACCACUCAUCUCAGGCAGCAUCGUGAAGGCAACGGCAGAAAUGUUUUGAGAAAACAGAUGGGCCAAGAAAUGAAAGGUGCCAGGAUCGGCCGCCACUGAAUCCAGGUGUCUUGGAGGUGGAAGUAGAAGCUCUUUGCUCAUUUCAUUUAGUAGAAAAACAAAUUUUUUAUGUUUCUGUUCCAUUGCUUUCAUUUACUCUAAUAGCAAUGUGUCACAUCAGUUCUGGGGGGAAAAAUACUGCUGUCAUGAAACAAUGUAACUGUACAUAAUGCAUGUCAAAUAAAUAUCUAAUGUUUCAGUCACA
Long non-coding RNA from Taeniopygia guttata (zebra finch), 521 nucleotides. RefSeq lists it as uncharacterized. The record is from RefSeq and is a predicted model, not a curated record. NCBI's taxonomy places the organism in Eukaryota, Metazoa, Chordata, Aves, Passeriformes, Estrildidae.